This 468-nucleotide ribosomal RNA is filed under the name uncultured bacterium. RNAcentral's name for it is "partial 16S ribosomal RNA". It matches the Rfam family "Bacterial small subunit ribosomal RNA", at positions 28 to 507 of the family's 1533-position model. The record is from RNAcentral.
GACGAACGCUGGCGGCGUGCUUAACACAUGCAAGUCGAACGGUGAAGCUCCAGCUUGCUGGAGUGGAUCAGUGGCGAACGGGUGAGUAACACGUGAGCAACCUGCCCCUGACUCUGGAAUAAGCGCUGGAAACGGCGUCUAAUACUGGAUACGAGAAGGGUCCGCAUGGGCACUUUCUGGAAAGUUUUUCGGUUGGGGAUGGGCUCGCGGCCUAUCAGCUUGUUGGUGAGGUAAUGGCUCACCAAGGCGACGACGGGUAGCCGGCCUGAGAGGGCGACCGGCCACACUGGGACUGACACACGGCCCAGACUCCUACGGGAGGCAGCAGUGGGGAAUAUUGCACAAUGGGCGAAAGCCUGAUGCAGCGACGCCGCGUGAGGGAUGACGGCCUUCGGGUUGUAAACCUCUUUCAGCAGGGAAGAAGCGAAAGUGACGGUACCUGCAGAAGAAGCACCGGCUAACUACGUG